RNAcentral lists this long non-coding RNA (1724 nucleotides) under Homo sapiens (human). RNAcentral describes it as "HSALNT0383110". The record is from RNAcentral. Lineage: Eukaryota; Metazoa; Chordata; Mammalia; Primates; Hominidae.
GCUGGAGGACCAGAGUUUGUCCUGCAGACCCAGGGAGGAGAGUUGCACUGGGGAGAAGGAGAGAUGGGGAGCAGGCUAAGAGGACAUCUGGUUACACCUGUUCUCAGCAUGAUUCAGGCGAGAAGAAAAACCACUGUCAGCAGAUACGUUUUAAAAUGAGAUAUUGUGUUUGGUUUGGAAGAAUCAAAUAAAAAAUUUAAACAGAUUAAAUUUAACCACACGUCACAGAAAUGACUGAAGAAUAGAUCAAAGCUGCUUUCAUAGUAUAAUAUUUUUAAUCGUGUGAGUUUUUGCACCAAAAAAAAACUGACAUAUUUUUAUAAUCUUUGUGGGGUUUUUUAACAGUAAGAAUGAUCGUGUGCGUUCCACAUUUCCACAUGUAACACGCUGCGCAAAGGAAGGCUUUUAUUCCCACCUCCCUGAAAUGCGCGUGUGCAUUUUCCUUUUGAACACUGGUUUUUGAGGUACUGGAGACCUCUUGAUGUAAGAGUUCUCCAAAAUGUUCUUCAAACUAAGGCUUUUCAUUAGAUGAAUGGAACUUGGAGAUCUGGCAAGGAUUAUGCUGCAGCAAACCCAUAGAAUUAUUUUCAUGUCUGUGCUCUGCAUUAACUUGUAAUUCAACAUCAGGAUUACCUUUGCUUCUUAUUUUUAACUAAUGAGUCUGUUAUGGGUCCAAAGCAAAUAACAGAGGAUGAGAGAAAAGAGUUCAAAGUGUUUAAUGGUCAGAAGGCAUCAUGGCAACUGUCGCAAUGGACUGAGAGCUAAGCCCCUGCGUGACUUGGCUCCUGAAGAUGCUCACUGGGUGUUCUCCAGCUAUACCCCUGCAGGUGCAGUCAAUACACGCACAGAGCAUCCACACUUUUCUUUCAAGGAGGAUUGUCUAAAAAUGCCUACUGAAGAUUUUUUAAGUUAGAUAUUUACCUCCAUUAAUUCCUCCACGUGCCUCUCAGCGUUCAUAAAUCAACAGCUGAAAGAUGUCUCCUAGAGUGCUAGGAAGGUACUAGGAUGAGGACUUUGAAAGUUUCAAAGGGGCUUGUUUGGCAUUGCUUUUUGUUGAUUGGCUUGUUUAGGGGAAAAUGUUGGCCCUGGCUGCUUCUGUGUGCUUUCUCAAUUCCCUGUUCUUUCGACUUACGACCUCAUUUCCUAAAGUUCAGGCCAACUCCGGCUGCACUGCAUGUUAAAGCACCAGGGAAUAAGAGCAUCAUGGACUAGUACUCCUGGGAUUCAUCAGGGACAAUAAACUCACCCUAGCAAGAAAAGUGUGGGCAUGCUCCUGACAUACAGGACAUCCUAUUCAUUUGGCACUCCCAAGAUGACGUUGUUCAAGCUUUUGAAACCCAUUGUUCAUUUUGAUUAACACAAAAAUAACAUACUACCCUUUGAAGUUUUUUGAAAUUUCAAAAUAAAUUCAACCCAUAACUCAGAAACAAUUAAGGUAACAGGACUACACACUGACGACUUCUCAAACUCUACAAUAGAAAGAAGGAAACAAAAUGUUUGUUACUUACAGACUACAUUAUGAUUAUGCACCAAGAUAAUAUAAAAGUACUGACUGUAAAAUUCUUAGUAUUCAUAAAAAUUAGGGAAGGGGUCAGAUACAAGAUAAAAAUACAAAAAUCUCCAAAAUAAAUACUGUUUCUAUUCUAACAACAAGCAGAAAAUAUAGGGAGAAAAAUGCAUUCUUAAGAGUAUUGGAAAAAAAUAUAAAGAACACUAAUAAGAAA